CUACGUCCUGAUGUGCCCUGUGACGCCCUGCACUGCCCUGCUAUGGCAUGAAUUACCACAAACUACUAUUUCUAGUCACUGUUCCACUAUCUUUUAUUGUGACUGUCAUUGCCACUAUUCAUUACACCCCCAACCGGCCCCAUCAGACACCGCCUACCAACAGCCUGGGUCUGUCUGAGGUUUCUCCCUAAAAGGAAGUUUUUCCUCACCACUGUCGCAAUAAAGGCUUGCUCUUGUGGGAAUUACAGUAAUUCUUGUUUCUUUGUAAACUA
Long non-coding RNA from Etheostoma cragini (Arkansas darter), 272 nucleotides. RefSeq lists it as uncharacterized. The record is from RefSeq and is a predicted model, not a curated record. The transcript is spliced from 3 exons. Lineage: Eukaryota; Metazoa; Chordata; Actinopteri; Perciformes; Percidae.